RNAcentral lists this ribosomal RNA (158 nucleotides) under Russula laurocerasi. RNAcentral describes it as "5.8S ribosomal RNA". It matches the Rfam family "5.8S ribosomal RNA". Rfam says of the family: 5.8S ribosomal RNA (5.8S rRNA) is a component of the large subunit of the eukaryotic ribosome. It is transcribed by RNA polymerase I as part of the 45S precursor that also contains 18S and 28S rRNA. RNAcentral also lists the same sequence under 1 other name. The record is from RNAcentral. Lineage: Eukaryota; Fungi; Basidiomycota; Agaricomycetes; Russulales; Russulaceae.
CAACUUUCAACAACGGAUCUCUUGGCUCUCGCAUCGAUGAAGAACGCAGCGAAAUGCGAUACGUAAUGUGAAUUGCAGAAUUCAGUGAAUCAUCGAAUCUUUGAACGCACCUUGCGCCCUUUGGCAUUCCGAGGGGCACACCCGUUUGAGUGUCGUGA